AGAGUUUGAUCCUGGCUCAGGACGAACGCUGGCGGCGUGGAUUAGGCAUGCAAGUCGAACGGUAUGGUGCUUUCGGGCAUCAGAGAGUGGCGAACGGGUGAGUAACACGUAGGUUAUCUACCCUCAAGACGGGGACAACCCAGGGAAACUUGGGCUAAUACCGGAUGAAAGCAACCGUGAGGUUGUUUAAAAGAUGGCUUUAAGCUGUCGCUUGGGGAUGAGCCUGCGUCCUAUUAGUUAGUUGGUGAGGUAACGGCUCCCCAAGGCAAUGAUAGGUAGGCGGCCUUAACGGGUGGUCGCCCACACUGGGAUUGAGAAACGGCCCAGACUCCUACGGGAGGCAGCAGUCGAGAAUAGUCUACAAUGGCCGAAAGGCUGAUAGUGCGACGCCGCGUGAACGAGGAAUCCCUUCGGGGUGUAAAGUUCUUUUAUAUGUGAGCAGUGCCGGCUAUAUUAAUAGUAUAGUUGGAGAGAUAUUAGCAUAUGAAUAAGCAACGGCUAACUCCGUGCCAGCAGCCGCGGUAACACGGGGGUUGCAAGCGUUGUCCGGAAUUACUAGGCGUAAAGGGCAGGUAGGCGGAUCAGUAAGUUUGAUGUCAAAUCCAUCGGCUCACCCGAUGAUCGGCAUCAGAUACUGCUGAUCUGGAAUACGGUUGAGGAAGACAGAAUUCCUGGUGUAGCGGUGGAAUGCGCAGAGAUCAGGAGGAAUACCAAAUGCGAAGGCAGUCUUCUAGGCCGUUAUUGACGCUAAACUGCGAAGGUGUGGGGAUCAAACAGGAUUAGAUACCCUGGUAGUCCACACAGUAAA
This 808-nucleotide ribosomal RNA is filed under the name uncultured bacterium. RNAcentral's name for it is "bacterial SSU rRNA". It matches the Rfam family "Bacterial small subunit ribosomal RNA", at positions 8 to 806 of the family's 1533-position model. The record is from RNAcentral.